This 198-nucleotide unclassified non-coding RNA is filed under the name soil metagenome. RNAcentral's name for it is "partial contains 5.8S ribosomal RNA, internal transcribed spacer 2, and large subunit ribosomal RNA". The record is from RNAcentral.
AAGACUAUAGACCUGCGGAGUACCUGCGGAAGGAUCAUUAACACACAUUCAAUUUGGGAUUUAAUUCGAAUGAUUUCGAUUAAAUUCUCAAAACGAUUAGCGAUACUGAAACAUUAAACAUUAAACUCUCAUUAAAUCAGUUAAAUAUAACUUUAAAAAGAAAGUGUAAUUUAUUACAACUUUCAACAACGGAUCUCU